GAAGCAAAGCCGCGAGGUAGAGCAAAUCUCAAAAAAACAAUCUCAGUUCAGACUGCAGGCUGCAACUCGCCUACACGAAGUCGGAAUUGCUAGUAAUCGUAGGUCAGCAUACUACGGUGAAUACGUUCCCGGGCCUUGUACACACCGCCCGUCAAACCAUGAGAGUUGGCAACACCCGAAGUCGGUAGUCUAACCGCAAGGAGGACGCCGCCGAAGGUGGGGUUGAUGAUUAGGGUUAAGUCGUAACAAGGUAAC
RNAcentral lists this ribosomal RNA (255 nucleotides) under uncultured bacterium. RNAcentral's name for it is "partial 16S ribosomal RNA". It matches the Rfam family "Bacterial small subunit ribosomal RNA", at positions 1246 to 1500 of the family's 1533-position model. The record is from RNAcentral.